GUGACAAUUGUGCAUGCAAUCUAGAACAUGACUUGUCUUUUGCAUCACUGCUGCCACUGCUAAAUGCACUACCCACCACCUUCCUAUUAAGCAAGUACUGAUGAAUGUCAGUUGAAUCCUGGCCUACAGCAUCAAAGGCUGUCUCUUUUGGGGCCAUUACUGAGUAAGCUGCUGUUGAUGCCGGAGGAAUCAUAGCCUUCCUGCUGUACCACCAGCACUAGCAGCCUCCACCUUGAGAACAGAGACAAAGUGAUCUGUCUGAACAAGAUCCAUCAGGUAUCUCCCAGAAUGAUGGGGCACCACGGCCUUCAGAAUAUGCUCAGUGACAACUGUCACUGAGAAGCAGCUGAAAAAGCAGCCUGCAGAAGAAAUGAGGAGGCAGAUGCAGGCAAGAAGAGGGUGACGAAGACAAACAAGAUACUGUGUAGAACAAGAUGAUAAGCACCCUAUCCUGAUUUGCUGUAUUACUGCCCUAUGCAAUGAUCCCAUAAAGCAG
This 496-nucleotide long non-coding RNA is filed under the name Phasianus colchicus (ring-necked pheasant). Its description in RNAcentral is "lncRNA (ENSPCLG00000003168.1)". Lineage: Eukaryota; Metazoa; Chordata; Aves; Galliformes; Phasianidae. The record is from RNAcentral.